RNAcentral lists this transfer RNA (88 nucleotides) under Cercospora zeae-maydis SCOH1-5. Its description in RNAcentral is "tRNA-Thr". Lineage: Eukaryota; Fungi; Ascomycota; Dothideomycetes; Mycosphaerellales; Mycosphaerellaceae. The record is from RNAcentral.
GACAGCCCUCUUAGCUCAGGGGCAGAGCGCAUCACUAGUACUCGUACAAACAUAUGAUGAGGUCAUUGGUUCGAAUCCAGGUUUGUCA